GAGAGGACUUCUGGUGCUCCCAGUGCUAUCCUUGCUGAUUGCAAUGAUACUCUUCAGAAGAAUAAAAAAGGAAGAUAAGCCCCAGCUGCAACUUCAAGGAAUGGCUCAAUGCUUCAUUCAUGGCUUGAAAGAACAGCAUUGCUAUCCACAGUGGCAGUUUGUGUCUAUGAACCUUCUUAGAUGGCUCUCAUGCUCAGAUUUCUGUGCUGCAGCUCAUUAGCAGGAGAGCUGCCUGUGGGGCUGCAGCAGGUUUGUAGUACAGCAGGAUGUGCACUAAAAUAAAAAUCAGGUUAGGAGUGGUGUUAUCCCAGUGCUGCCUGGGCACUGGCAAUUAAACCUGGAUGAGAAUAAAACACCUGGACUUUGUGACUCGAGGGAUGAACGUUCUGCUUGCUGAGGGCUGUUCCUGCCCAAGAAAGCACUAAAACAGGUGUAUAAAUCCUACCUUGUUCAGUGGGAUUUAGGCACCUGCUUAAACUUAAGUGCUUGUUUAGAGAGUUUCCUGAAUGAAAGCCUGACAAUUGUGCCCGAGAGUAACUUUUAAAUUAGUUUUAAUUUGCUCAUCAUAACCAGCUGUCAUGAGUAUGUGCGUAAAGAAAGGGUUUGAUUCUGGAAAGACGAAAGGCUUUUCAGGACCUGGGCUUUUAUGUACGCACCCUUGCUGGACAGCCAACCUGCUUUUAUUGUGUGUUGCUCUGGGGUCCCACUGGAGCUGCAGUGCCAGCCCAGCCAACUGCCCUGCCAGCAGCUGACACCACCCACCUGCACCUCACCAGCAGAGUCCCAUCAGAGGCAAUCUGCAGGCUGCAGCAGAGGAGGAGAAAGUCCAUGCUGUAGGAUGGGCUCUAGUAAACGGAUACAUUUACAAGAGGCCAAGGAUACAGUGGUGGAUCUUGCUUGUCAUUGGUGAAAAAGUCCAGAAUGCUGUUUCUGCUCACAAGAGAAGGAAGUCCAGGUUCAUGAGGCUUCAAGACUUGGGAAAGGACCUAGAAAAUACCAAGGUUGAUCUGCUUUGUCCAUGCACAGACUGUUUGGAAAUUGAUUCCAGCUACAAGGCUUGGAUUUGGAUCUGGAUCAAAACAGUCUUUAAUUCAAAGGUCUCCAGGCCCAGCACUGGAGGAUGGGGCACUGCCAGCUGCUGCAUGAGGGCUGGAGCCAGCAGUGGGGCCAGCAGUGAGAAAUGGGCUGCCUGUACCAGGCUGAAGGAACAAGGACAAAAUGCAGAAGGAGGGAUGCCUAGUGUGUCUCGGGAUUUGGUACCUGCCUACUUUUCUCAGGAGUCUGCAAACCUCAGUUAG
This 1298-nucleotide long non-coding RNA is filed under the name Cyanistes caeruleus (blue tit). RNAcentral's name for it is "lncRNA (ENSCCEG00000004809.1)". The record is from RNAcentral. Lineage: Eukaryota; Metazoa; Chordata; Aves; Passeriformes; Paridae.